Molecule: ribosomal RNA, 545 nt
Filed under: uncultured archaeon
Lineage: Archaea
Description: bacterial SSU rRNA
Rfam family: Archaeal small subunit ribosomal RNA
Source: RNAcentral
UUCGGUUGAUCCUGCCGGACCUGACUGCUAUCGGAUUGGUACUAAGCCAUGCGAGUCAUUGUAGCAAUACAAGGCGGACGGCUCAGUAACACGUAGUCAACCUAACUCGUGGACGUGGAUAACCUCGGGAAACUGAGAAUAAACCACGAUAGAUCAUAGUGCCUGGAAUGGCUUAUGGUCCAAGCAGUUUACUGCCAAANUUGGGNNGACUGGGACUGCGGCCUAUCAGCUUGUUGGUGAGGUAAUGGCCCACCAAGGCGAUUACAGGUACGGGCUCUGAGAGGAGAAGCCCGGAGAUGGGUACUGAGACACGGACCCAGGCCCUAUGGGGCGCAGCAGGCGAGAAACCUUAGCAAUGUGCGAAAGCACGACUGGGUCAGUCCGAGUGAUUCCUGAUAAAGGAGUCUUUUGCUUGUCCUAAAAGCACAGGUGAAUAAGGGGUGGGCAAGUCUGGUGUCAGCCGCCGCGGUAAUGCCAGCACCUCGAGUGGUCAGGACGUUUAUUGGGCCUAAAGCAUCCGUAGCCGGCUCUGCAAGUCUUCGGUU